This 253-nucleotide ribosomal RNA is filed under the name uncultured bacterium. RNAcentral's name for it is "partial 16S ribosomal RNA". It matches the Rfam family "Bacterial small subunit ribosomal RNA", at positions 524 to 776 of the family's 1533-position model. The record is from RNAcentral.
UACGUAGGGUGCAAGCGUUGUCCGGAAUUAUUGGGCGUAAAGCGUCCGUAGAUGGUUUUGUCAGUCUGCUGUCAAAGCACAGGGCUUAACCCUGUAAAGGCAGUGGAAACUACAAGACUAGAGUGCAGUAGGGGCAGAGGGAAUUCCCAGUGUAGCGGUGAAAUGCGUAGAGAUUGGGAAGAACAUCCGUGGCGAAAGCGCUCUGCUGGACUGCAACUGACAUUGAGGGACGAAAGCUAGGGGAGCGAAUGGG